UGUGGUCCUUGUCCCAUUUGUUGGGGCUGC
RNAcentral lists this non-coding RNA (30 nucleotides) under Homo sapiens (human). The record is from RNAcentral. Lineage: Eukaryota; Metazoa; Chordata; Mammalia; Primates; Hominidae.